RNAcentral lists this long non-coding RNA (205 nucleotides) under Lathyrus oleraceus (garden pea). Its description in RNAcentral is "Pisum sativum (pea) long non-coding RNA (PSAT_LNC006239)". Lineage: Eukaryota; Viridiplantae; Streptophyta; Magnoliopsida; Fabales; Fabaceae. The record is from RNAcentral.
GCAUGAUCACAUGAAAGCCUAAUGCACAAACCAAGCCAUGAAGUACUGCUGGCAAGCCGUGAACCAAAUGAAGUUGACCUGCUGUAGAACUGCAUGAACACACCCUUUGAUAUCCACAAACUGCAAUGCAUAACAACUGGAUUAGGCCUGCAGAAACGGCACAAUCUGCAGCAUGACAUGUACCAGCAGCAGUUCAUGCAUGUCC